UACGAACGCUGGCGGCGGUGCCUAAUACAUGCAAGUCGAACGCUUCUUUCCUCCCGAGUGCUUGCACUCAAUUGGAAAGAGGAGUGGCGGACGGGUGAGUAACACGUGGGAAUCUGCCCUGUACUUCGGGAUAAGCUUGGGAAACUGGGUCUAAUACCGGAUAGGAAUCACAUGUGGGUGUGUGGUUGGAAAGCUUUUGCGGUAUGGGAUGAGCUCGCGGCCUAUCAGCUUGUUGGUGGGGUAAUGGCCUACCAAGGCGUCGACGGGUAGCCGGCCUGAAAGGGUGUACGGCCACAUUGGGACUGAGAUACGGCCCAG
This 318-nucleotide ribosomal RNA is filed under the name uncultured bacterium. RNAcentral's name for it is "bacterial SSU rRNA". It matches the Rfam family "Bacterial small subunit ribosomal RNA", at positions 29 to 334 of the family's 1533-position model. The record is from RNAcentral.